This 116-nucleotide ribosomal RNA is filed under the name Escherichia coli. Lineage: Bacteria; Pseudomonadati; Pseudomonadota; Gammaproteobacteria; Enterobacterales; Enterobacteriaceae. The record is from RNAcentral.
UGCCUGGCGGCCGUAGCGCGGUGGUCCCACCUGACCCCAUGCCGAACUCAGAAGUGAAACGCCGUAGCGCCGAUGGUAGUGUGGGGUCUCCCCAUGCGAGAGUAGGGAACUGCCAG